RNAcentral lists this long non-coding RNA (266 nucleotides) under Elaeis guineensis (African oil palm). Its description in RNAcentral is "long non-coding RNA (EGUI_LNC005703)". Lineage: Eukaryota; Viridiplantae; Streptophyta; Magnoliopsida; Arecales; Arecaceae. The record is from RNAcentral.
GUCAUCAAAUAAUAUGCAUCAUGUGUGACAUAGCAUAUAUUUGUGGAUUACUUUGUUUUAGAUGACUUCUUUCUCGGAGGCAACUAUCCAUAGUUGUCCAAUACUCCAUGAUGCUCCGAGCAUAAAAGAUUUAUGCUCUAUCUAUCAAUAGUUUAAUCCAUCUUUAGCAGUCAAAGAGUUGGUCUUCAUAUUGCAUGCAUCAGGUGUAAUUGGACCGCAUCAAAUUUUAUGGUGAAUAACAUGCUAUGCAACCCUUGUAUUUUAUC